GAUGAACGCUGGCGGCGUGCCUAAUACAUGCAAGUCGAGCGAACAGACGAGGAGCUUGCUCCUCUGACGUUAGCGGCGGACGGGUGAGUAACACGUGGAUAACCUACCUAUAAGACUGGGAUAACUUCGGGAAACCGGAGCUAAUACCGGAUAAUAUAUUGAACCGCAUGGUUCAAUAGUGAAAGACGGUUUUGCUGUCACUUAUAGAUGGAUCCGCGCCGCAUUAGCUAGUUGGUAAGGUAACGGCUUACCAAGGCGACGAUGCGUAGCCGACCUGAGAGGGGGGGCGGCCACACGGGAACUGAGACCCGUCCAAGACCCCGACGGGAGGAGCAAGGGGGGAAUCUCCAGCAAGGGGGAAAAGCCUGAGGGAGCAACCCGGGGUGAGGGAGAAGGGUUUUGGGAUCAAAAAACUUUUUUAUUAGGGAAAAAAAAAUUGUAAAUAAACAUUGCACGUCUGGACGGUACCUAAUAAAAAACCCCCGCCAAACUACGUG
Molecule: ribosomal RNA, 497 nt
Filed under: uncultured bacterium
Lineage: Bacteria
Description: partial 16S ribosomal RNA
Rfam family: Bacterial small subunit ribosomal RNA
Source: RNAcentral